UAUAUGAAACGUGACUGUUUAUAAUCCUAUCCAAAAAAGAACUGAUUUCAAGCAACAGCAGUAUUACUUCCAUUCAAUACUUGGACCUGCAAACAUCAAAAAAGCCACUGGAGAAACUGAACGACUCUCUGAAAGCCUUAAACUAAGAUAUGAAGAAGUUGAAAUCUGGAAAAAACUUGAGGAAAAGGACAGGCAGGGGGAAGCACAGUGGCUACAACAAAAAAGGCAGGAAACAGGAAGAGAGGAUGGCAGCAUGUUGGCUAAAGGUUCUUUGGAGAUUGUAUUGGAUUCCAAAGACAAAACCCAAAAGAGCAAUGGUGAAAAGAAUGAAAAAUGUGAGACCAAAGAGAAAGGAGCAAUCACAGCAAAGGAACUAUACACAAUGAUGAUGGAUAAAAACAUCAGCUUGAUUAUAAUGGAUGCUCAAAGAAUGCAGGAUUAUCAGGAUUCCUGUAUUUUACAUUCUCUCAGUGUUCCUGAAAAAGCCAUCAGUCCAGGAGUCACUGCUAGCUGGAUUGAAGCACACCUCCCAGAUGAUUCUAUAGAUACAUGGAAGAAGAGGGGGAAUGUGGAGUAUAUGGUACUUCUUGACUGGUUUAGUUCUGCAAAAGAUUUACAGAUUGGAACAACACUCUGGCAUCUGAAAGAUGCACUUUUCAAGUGGGAAAGUAAAACUGUCCUGUGCAAUGGGCCUUGGGCCUUUGGUUUUAGAGGGAGGCUAUAAAAACUGGUUCCUUUGCUAUUCCCAGUAUACAACAAAUGCUAAGGUCACUCCACCCCCACAACACCAGAAUGAAGAGUUGUCUAUCUCAUUGGAUUUUACUUAUCCCUCAUUGGAAGAAUCAAUUCCUUCUAAACCUGCUGCCGAGAUGCCACCUCCACCUAUAAAAGUGGAUGAAGACAUAGAAUUGAUAAGUGAUCAAAUAAGUGAUAAUGAUCAAAAUGAGAGGACAGGACCACUGAAUAUAUCAAUUCCAGUUGAAUCAGUUGCUGCUUCUAAAUCUGAUGUUUCACCCAUCAUUCAGCCAGUGCCUAGCAUAAAGAAUGUUCCACAGAUUGAUCAUACUAAAAAACUGGCAGUCAAAUUGCCUGAAGAGCAUAUAAUCAAAUCUGAAAGUACAAAUCAUGAGCAACAGUCUCCUCAGAAUGAAAAAGUUAUUCCUGAUUGUUCCACCAAGCCAGUAGUUUCCUCUCCAACUCUCAUGUUAACAGAUGAAGAAAAGGCUCAUAUUCAUGCAGAAACUGCUCUUCUAAUGGAGAAAAACAAACAAGAAAAAGAACUUCAGGAAAGACAGCAAGGGAAACAGAAAGAAACUGAGGAGGGAAGAACACGAGCAAAAAGCCAAAAAGAAACAAGAAGCUGAAGAAAAUGAAAUUACACAGAAGCAACAAAAAGCAAAAGAAGAAAUGGAGAAGAAAGAACGUGAACAGGCCAAGAAAGAGGAUAAAGAAAUCUCAGCAAAGAAGGGCAAAGAAAUAACAAGAGUAAAAAGACAAAGUAAAAGUGAUCAUGAAACCUCUGGUGCCGAGAAGUCUGUAGAGGACAGGGGGAGAAGAUGUUCAACCCCAGAAGUACAGAAAAAGUCAACAAGAGAUGUGUCCCAUACAUCUGCGACAGGGGAUUCAGGUUCAGGCAAGCCUUUUAAGAUUAAAGGACAACCAGAAACUGGAAUUCUAAGGACAGAAACUUUUAGAGAGGAUACAGAUGAUACUUAAAGAAAUAAAACUCAACGAGAACCUUCGAUAAUAGCACGAAGUGAAGAAAUGGGGAGGAUGGUACCAGGACUGCCUUCAGGCUGGGCCAAGUUUCUUGAUCCAAUCACUGGAACGUUUCAUUAUUAUCAUUCACCACUAACACUGUUCAUAUGUACCCACUGGAAAUGGCUCCUUCAUCUGCACCUCCUUCCACCCCUCCAACUCAUAAAGGCAAGCCACAGAUUCCUGCUAAGCAGGAUAGGGAACCUUCCAAACUGAAAUGCUCUUACUCCUCCCCAGAUAUAACCCAGGCUAUUCAAGAGGAAGCCAGCAGUAACUCCAACAGUUAAUCAGGAAGACAAGCCAACAUGCUACCCUAAAGCUGAGAUCUCAAGGCUUUCUGCUUCUCAGAUUUGGAAACUCAAUCCUGUUUUUGGAGGUUCUGGACCAGCUCUUACUGGACUUCGUAACUUAGGAAAUACUUGUUAUAUGAACUCAAUAUUGCAGUGCCUAUGUAAUCCUCCACAUUUGGCUGAUUAUUUCAACCGAAACUGUUAUCAGGAUGAUAUUAACAAGUCAAAUUUGUUAGGGGCAUAAAGGUGAAGUGGCAGAAGAAUUUGGUAUAAUCAUGAAAGCCCCGUGGACAGGACAGUAUAGAUAUAUCAGUCCAAAAGACCUUAAAGUCACCAUUGGGAAGAUCAAUUACCAGUUUGCAGGAUACAGUCAAGAUUCACAAGAAUUUCUUCUGUUCCUAAUGGAUGGUCUCCAUGAAGAUCUAAAUAAAACUGAUAAUCGGAAGACAUAUAAAGAAGAAAAUAAUGAUCAUCUCAAUGACUUUAAAGCUGCAGAACAUGCCUGGCAGAAACACAAGCGGCUCUAUGAGUCUAUUAUUGUUGCACUUUUUCAGGGUCAAUUCAAAUCUACAGUACAGUGCCUCACCCGUCACAAAAAGUCUAGGACACUUGAGGCCUUCAUGUAUUUGUCUCUACUGAUAGCAUCCACAAGUAAAUGUACAUUAUAGGAUUGCCUUAGAUUAUUUUCUAAAGAAGAAAAACUCAUAGAUAAUAACAGAUUUUACUGCAAUCUUUGCAGAGCUCGACGGGAUUCUUAAAAAAGAAAUCUGGAAGUUACCACCUGUGCUUUUAGUGCAUCUGAAACAUUUUUCCUACAAUGGCAGGUGGAAACAAAAAUUACAGACAUCUGUGGACUUCCCGUUAGAAAAUCUUGCCUUGUCACAGUAUGUUAUUGGUCCAAAGAACAAUUUGAAGAAAUAUAAUUUGUUUUCUGUUUCAGAUCACUGCGGUGGGCUGGAUGGAGGCCAUUACACAGCCUACUGUAAAAAUGCAGCAAAACAGCGGUGGUUUAAGUUUGAUGAUCAUGAAGUUUCUGAUAUCUCUGUUUCUUCUGUGAAAUCUUCAGCAGCUUAUAUCCUCUUUUAUACUUCUUUGGGACCAUGAGUAACUGAUGUAGGCACAUAA
RNAcentral lists this long non-coding RNA (3173 nucleotides) under Homo sapiens (human). Its description in RNAcentral is "long non-coding RNA NONHSAT118053.2". The record is from RNAcentral. Lineage: Eukaryota; Metazoa; Chordata; Mammalia; Primates; Hominidae.